GAGCGGGUCCUGUGCGACGGGACGCUACGAACCAUGUCAGGCGGGGAACCGAGCAGCAUUAAGUAGU
This 67-nucleotide signal recognition particle RNA is filed under the name Oscillospiraceae bacterium. RNAcentral describes it as "partial signal recognition particle sRNA small type". It matches the Rfam family "Bacterial small signal recognition particle RNA", at positions 1 to 66 of the family's 97-position model. From Rfam's summary of the family: The signal recognition particle (SRP) is a universally conserved ribonucleoprotein involved in the co-translational targeting of proteins to membranes. The record is from RNAcentral. Lineage: Bacteria; Bacillati; Bacillota; Clostridia; Eubacteriales; Oscillospiraceae.